This is a long non-coding RNA of Colossoma macropomum (tambaqui), 606 nucleotides long. RefSeq lists it as uncharacterized. The record is from RefSeq and is a predicted model, not a curated record. Lineage: Eukaryota; Metazoa; Chordata; Actinopteri; Characiformes; Serrasalmidae. The transcript has 3 exons.
UCUGUAAUUUUUUCCUUGUUUUCUUUCUGUGCCGGCUUAGUUUGUCACUGUAUGACACCUCUUCAUUUUUCACAGCUAUCUGAAGAUCAUCUUCUACACUUUGCGUACCUUGAUUGUUAUCUAGUGGUGGAAGUAAACAUAGUGAUGUCUGUGCCAAGGGUCUCAGCAUGCUGACAGAGCUCCCUGUGUCUAGUCUUUAGGUGUUGCAGAUCUUCAAUGACAGUGCAGUCUGAAUCAGCAGAACAUUUGGCAUCUUCUUCUACAUCUGCAUUUUUAUCUUCAGCACAGGUCAACGCUGAACUGGCUUGAAACACUGAGAAACCAGCUGGAGCAGUCUCAACUAAACCUAACUCUAAACUGCCACCAGCCUGCCCCUCAUUGUUUACUGGGCCAUCUGUUUCACUAGGGCUGACAUAAGCCUGACUGCAGCUGAGUUGUGUCUCUCCAUUGUUUUCUCUUUGCUUGACUUGUUUGGUUGGUGUGUCUAGUGUCUGAGGAUGACAUUUCACAAAGGUUGAUACAGUGGAAAUGACUGUCUCUUCAGAGCUUUCAACUGCCUCUGUGCUUGUCAGAUUGUUCAGAGUGUCUGUAUUGGUCUGAGACCAU